RNAcentral lists this ribosomal RNA (800 nucleotides) under Bacillus thuringiensis. RNAcentral's name for it is "bacterial SSU rRNA". It matches the Rfam family "Bacterial small subunit ribosomal RNA", at positions 38 to 817 of the family's 1533-position model. Lineage: Bacteria; Bacillati; Bacillota; Bacilli; Caryophanales; Bacillaceae. The record is from RNAcentral.
ACCGGUGCGGGCGCUAUACAUGCAAGUCGAGCGAUGGAUUGAGAGCUUGCUCUCAAGAAGUUAGCGGCGGACGGGUGAGUAACACGUGGGUAACCUGCCCAUAAGACUGGGAUAACUCCGGGAAACCGGGGCUAAUACCGGAUAACAUUUUGAACCGCAUGGUUCGAAAUUGAAAGGCGGCUUCGGCUGUCACUUAUGGAUGGACCCGCGUCGCAUUAGCUAGUUGGUGAGGUAACGGCUCACCAAGGCAACGAUGCGUAGCCGACCUGAGAGGGUGAUCGGCCACACUGGGACUGAGACACGGCCCAGACUAAUACGGGAGGCAGCAGUAGGGAAUCUUCCGCAAUGGACGAAAGUCUGACGGAGCAACGCCGCGUGAGUGAUGAAGGCUUUCGGGUCGUAAAACUCUGUUGUUAGGGAAGAACAAGUGCUAGUUGAAUAAGCUGGCACCUUGACGGUACCUAACCAGAAAGCCACGGCUAACUACGUGCCAGCAGCCGCGGUAAUACGUAGGUGGCAAGCGUUAUCCGGAAUUAUUGGGCGUAAAGCGCGCGCAGGUGGUUUCUUAAGUCUGAUGUGAAAGCCCACGGCUCAACCGUGGAGGGUCAUUGGAAACUGGGAGACUUGAGUGCAGAAGAGGAAAGUGGAAUUCCAUGUGUAGCGGUGAAAUGCGUAGAGAUAUGGAGGAACACCAGUGGCGAAGGCGACUUUCUGGUCUGUAACUGACACUGAGGCGCGAAAGCGUGGGGAGCAAACAGGAUUAGAUACCCUGGUAGUCCACGCCGUAAACGAUGAGUGCU